This 491-nucleotide ribosomal RNA is filed under the name uncultured bacterium. RNAcentral's name for it is "bacterial SSU rRNA". It matches the Rfam family "Bacterial small subunit ribosomal RNA", at positions 28 to 518 of the family's 1533-position model. The record is from RNAcentral.
GAUGAACGCUAGCGGGAGGCUUAACACAUGCAAGUCGAAGGGCAGCACGUCUUCGGAUGGUGGCGACUGGCGAACGGGUGCGUAACGCGUAUGCAACCUACCCUCAACAGGGGAAUAGCCCAGAGAAAUUUGGAUUAAUACCCCAUAGUAUUACAGAUUCGCAUGUUUCUGUGAUUAAAGUUCCAACGGUUGAGGAUGGGCAUGCGUGACAUUAGCUUGUUGGUGAGGUAACGGCUCACCAAGGCAACGAUGUCUAGGGGUUCUGAGAGGAUGAUCCCCCACACUGGUACUGAGACACGGACCAGACUCCUACGGGAGGCAGCAGUGAGGAAUAUUGGACAAUGGAGGCAACUCUGAUCCAGCCAUCCCGCGUGCAGGAAGAAGGCCCUAUGGGUUGUAAACUGCUUUUAUACAGGAAUAAACCCCUCUACGUGUAGAGGGCUGAAGGUACUGUAAGAAUAAGCACCGGCUAACUCCGUGCCAGCAGCCGU